Molecule: long non-coding RNA, 2136 nt
Organism: Gasterosteus aculeatus aculeatus (three-spined stickleback)
Lineage: Eukaryota; Metazoa; Chordata; Actinopteri; Perciformes; Gasterosteidae
Source: Ensembl
ACAAACUCCUCCUUCCCGGUGACAGGCGGCAACACCGAAGGGGUCGCCUCGCCUUCUCCAACGCAAUUUUGCGCCCUGGACUUAUUGUCGGUUGCCGUCGAGGUGGUGGUCAGCAUCCCCUGGAGGUGAAGCGCUGUGACCCGUAACUCACCGCCGCCUGGAGCCACACGGAUCGUCUGGACUUCACUCCCCCACCUCCAGCUUCUGUCCAACCGCCCUCUGAAGACGUCGACAAUGUGACAGCUGGACCCUUUCAGAAGCAUGUGACCUGCCGUUAUUAUGGAUCGGAAAAUCAGCAUACAUUGAAUCUACACUCAUCCAGGAGGAGGAAAGGAAACUGUCCUUCUCCUCAGAGAUGCUGAAGGGGUCGGGCUGGAGACGGACUGCAAAGACAAGCUGGGAAAAGCUGGAGAGCAGUGGGUGAAACAGCCUUUGGUCGCCGAGGGACAUGCGGGGUGACAUCUCCAGAGGUGACUGAGGCAGGAAAAAAGGAAGCCGGGAGCAAAAGGAGGCUUACGAGGAGCAGCAGCACUUUACCACAAGACACAGCCAUAGGCCUCGCUGUGAGCAGCCUCCUGGCUGCCCUACACACGACGAACUAACAGAGCCGACAUACAUAAAAUUCCCUGCAGCUUUUCUAGUGGAAAGUCCCAAACGGUACCGUGAGUGAAUUUCCACAUCGCAAAACCUCAAACCUUAUACACAGAGGUCCGGCCCCAUGGAUUCACACACUGUGUACACACUAACUCAGCGCAAAAACCUCCCCCUCAUCUCGGCUUGUGACAUUUGCAGACGGGGACUUAAAGAGGGAGGAAAGCAGGGUAGCACGCCGCUCCUCUCCUCUCCUCUCUCUCUCUCAUUAGAAUUCUCUCAUCCGUCUUCCCGUGGAACGGAGGGACACGUCGGGGUUUAUUAAUCGCUCCAGGAGAUAUUAUUGACCCGGACCUUCUGCUCCCGCUCUCCCUGCUGCAUUCAGCGUCUCCCCUCUGCUGCCUCCACAUUCCGCCAGUGUCCUGUCUGGACACAUUACAGGACACUGCGGCACAGCGUGGAGGCUUCAACACACAGUGUCUUCAUUGACUAUGCACUUGGCCUGGGCUUUCUUUCCACCGCAGCUGCAAAGCAACACACACAAACACUCCUGCAGCCUUGGGGAGACAAAACCCACGCCGCCGUGCUUCAUUAUAGGGUGAUAGCAGCUCUGUGCUCACGCGCAUUGCUUGGAUUCCAACUUUUGUGGGGGGAAAAACACACCUUGAGAAAAAUCUCAAUGCUUAUUGGUUUUCAAACCUUACCAGCAGAUUUCAAAAGAAAAGAGGUGCGUGAAUCAAUGUGAUGUGAAACCCAUUCUGAAUGCUGAAUCGAUCCGAGAUGCUCCUUUGUCCUUCUUUAUCCUAAAGGGAGAAAAUGAAGGAAUGAUUGGAGUCGUUCAGCUGAGACUCCUGUCACUGUGUCUAUGGGCUCUGGACGGCGCUUGUGGGUGUUGGCGUGUGUAUGUGUGUUUGUGUUGGGGGGAGGUUAUCAAAUAGGAGGGGAGGUGGCAAGGAGUGGAGUGUGAGGGUGUAGGUGUUAAGCCUCUUCCAGCCCAGAUGCCCCUUAGAUUUUGCAGAGGCUUCUUGUUGACAUGCUUUUAGGGUGUGUGUGUGUGUGUGCUUUGAUUUCAAGCACACUUAAAUCCUGAAAAUGACAUAUUUCAUCCUGGCAUUGCCUUGUAAACAGCUGAAGGUUGUUUUCAGGUCAUUAACUAAUCAUGGUGGCAUUCACUGAAGGUUUCUUUGAUCAAUACUGCACUGAUUAAAACAUGAGCAAAUACCUCAUUGCACUGAAUUAGGGAAACAUGGGCUAUUGGUAAUAACGACAUGUAUGCUCUUGUUGUUUCUUUAAUAUCAGUAUGAAUUAGCAAUGUAAAAAAAAUAGAGUUUAGCCUUGAUGUUAUCUUCGUACGUUUUCUUCUCAAUGGGUCUUAAGGGCGUUAUCGCGGGCGCCUUGUUGUUCAAGUAUUGGAGUGUUGUGCCUCCAUGUGGACGUGUUUGUCAUUACACCGUGAGCUUAUGAAUGGCCAGGAUGUGUGAGCGUGUUGUUCCAUUGUGUCUCCAUGAACUUUGCACCGAUGAGCACAUUCCUGAAAGCAACAGU